GACGAACGCUGGCGGCGUGCUUAACACAUGCAAGUCGAACGGAAAGGCCCUGCUUUUGUGGGGUGCUCGAGUGGCGAACGGGUGAGUAACACGUGAGUAACCUGCCCUUGACUUUGGGAUAACUUCAGGAAACUGGGGCUCAUACCGGAUAGGAGCUCCUGCUGCAUGGUGGGGGUUGGACAGUUUCGGCGGUUGGGGAUGGACUCGCGGCUUAUCAGCUUGUUGGUGGGGUAGUGGCUUACCAAGGCUUUGACGGGUAGCCGGCCUGAGAGGGUGACCGGCCACAUUGGGACUGAGAUACGGCCCAGACUCCUACGGGAGGCAGCAGUGGGGAAUAUUGCACAAUGGGCGGAAGCCUGAUGCAGCAACGCCGCGUGCGGGAUGACGGCCUUCGGGUUGUAAACCGCUUUCGCCUGUGACGAAGCGUGAGUGACGGUAAUGGGUAAAGAAGCACCGGCUAACUACGUG
This 468-nucleotide ribosomal RNA is filed under the name uncultured bacterium. Its description in RNAcentral is "partial 16S ribosomal RNA". It matches the Rfam family "Bacterial small subunit ribosomal RNA", at positions 28 to 507 of the family's 1533-position model. The record is from RNAcentral.